RNAcentral lists this ribosomal RNA (393 nucleotides) under Plagiogrammopsis vanheurckii. RNAcentral's name for it is "partial small subunit ribosomal RNA". It matches the Rfam family "Eukaryotic small subunit ribosomal RNA", at positions 30 to 432 of the family's 1831-position model. Lineage: Eukaryota; Bacillariophyta; Thalassiosirophyceae; Cymatosirales; Cymatosiraceae. The record is from RNAcentral.
GCUUGUCUCAAAGAUUAAGCCAUGCAUGUCUUAGUGUAAAUAACUCUUAUGAAACUGCGAAUGGCUCAUUAAAUCAGUUAUCGUUUAUUUGAUGGUCCCUUACUACAUGGAUAACCGUAGUAAUUCUAGAGCUAAUACAUGCAUCAAUACCCAACUGUUCGCGGAAGGGUAGUAUUUAUUAGGUAUAGACCAACCCUCCUCGGAGGUGCUUUGGUGAUUCAUAAUAACUUUCAGAUCGAUCGCAAGAUCGAUGCAUCAUUCAAGUUUCUGCCCUAUCAGCUUUGGAUGGUAGGGUAUUGGCCUACCAUGGCUUUAACGGGUAACGGAGAAUUAGGGUUCGAUUCCGGAGAGGGAGCCUGAGAAACGGCUACCACAUCCAAGGAAGGCAGCAGG